Molecule: ribosomal RNA, 497 nt
Filed under: uncultured bacterium
Lineage: Bacteria
Description: partial 16S ribosomal RNA
Rfam family: Bacterial small subunit ribosomal RNA
Source: RNAcentral
GAUGAACGCUGGCGGCGUGCCUAAUACAUGCAAGUCGAGCGAACGGACGCGAAGCUUGCUUCUCUGAUGUUAGCGGCGGACGGGUGAGUAACACGUGGAUAACCUACCUAUAAGACUGGGAUAAAUUCGGGAAACCGGAGCUAAUACCGGAUGAUAUUUUGAACCGCAUGGUUCAAAAGUGAAAGACGGUCUUGCUGUCACUUAUAUAUGGAUCCGCUCUGCAUUAGCUAGUUGGUAAGGUAACGGCUUACCAAGGCAACGAUGCCUAGCCGACCUGAGAGGGUGAUCGGACACACUGGAACUGAGACGCGGUCCAGACUCCUACGGGAGGCAGCAGUAGGGAAUCUUCCGCAAUGAGCGAAAGCCUGACGGAGCAACGCCGCGUGAGUGAUGAAGGUCUUCGGAUCGUAAAACUCUGUUAUUAGGGAAGAACAUAUGUGUAAGUAACUGUGCACAUCUUGACGGUACCUAAUCAGAAAGCCACGGCUAGCUACGUG